This 399-nucleotide ribosomal RNA is filed under the name uncultured bacterium. RNAcentral's name for it is "partial 16S ribosomal RNA". It matches the Rfam family "Bacterial small subunit ribosomal RNA", at positions 338 to 734 of the family's 1533-position model. The record is from RNAcentral.
CCUACGGGAGGCAGCAGUGAGGAAUAUUGGUCAAUGGACGAGAGUCUGAACCAGCCAAGUAGCGUGAAGGAUGACUGCCCUAUGGGUUGUAAACUUCUUUUAUAUGGGAAUAAACCAGGGUAUGCAUACCCUCUUGUAUGUACAAUAUGAAUAAGGAUCGGCUAACCCCGUGCCAGCAGCCGCGGUAAUAUGGAGGAUCCGAGCGUUACGCGGAUUUAUUGGGUUUAAAGGGAGCGUAGGUGGAUUGUUAAGUCAGUUGUGAAAGGUUGCGGCUCAACCGUAAAAUUGCAGUUGAAACUGGCAGUCUUGAGUACAGUAGAGGUGGGCAGAAUUCGUGGUGUAGCGGUGAAAUGCGUAGAUAUCACGAAGAACUCCGGUUGCGAAGGCAGCUCACUGGAC